ACAAUUAUGAUUGUUAGAUGGGGACAACUAAUGCCUGUGCCUGAUUCAUCUUGAUAGUAGAUCUGAUUUA
Drosophila teissieri is the source of this 70-nucleotide small nucleolar RNA. RefSeq annotates it as small nucleolar RNA Me28S-Cm2645. The transcript has a single exon. The record is from RefSeq and is a predicted model, not a curated record. Lineage: Eukaryota; Metazoa; Arthropoda; Insecta; Diptera; Drosophilidae.